This 383-nucleotide ribosomal RNA is filed under the name uncultured eukaryote. RNAcentral describes it as "partial 18S ribosomal RNA". It matches the Rfam family "Eukaryotic small subunit ribosomal RNA", at positions 592 to 976 of the family's 1831-position model. The record is from RNAcentral.
CAAUAGCGUAUAUUAAAGUUGUUGCAGUUAAAAAGCUCGUAGUUGGAUUUCUGGUAGGAGUGACCGUUCCGAACUUGAUUGUUCGUGUAUUGUGUUUUCUUCAGCCAUCCUUGUGGAGAACUUUUCUUGCAUUAAUUUGUAGGGCUUGGGACCCGCAUCGUUUACUGUGAAAAAAUUAGAGUGUUUAAAGCAGGCAAUCGCUUGAAUACAUUAGCAUGGAAUAAUAAGAUAGGACUUUGGUACUAUUUUGUUGGUUUGCAUACCAAAUUAAUGAUCAACAGGAACAGUUUGAGGAUAUUCGUAUGAACAUGUCAGAGGUGAAAUUCUUGGAUUUUGAUCAGACGAACUACUGCGAAAGCAUUUAUCAAGGAUGUUUUCAUUAA